UGAAAUUAAAGAUUAUUUUAAUACAAAUUCAAUUGUAUAUCAUAAAGUUAUUUUGCCACAUACCAUUUUCGAAAAAUAAUUACAAACACUUGUAAAGUGUAUACGCAUGUUAUUUGUGCGCUCAAUUCUUCAUAUGUCUGCUCGCAUUUUUUUCAUAAUAGAAAAUGACGAUGGAGGUAAACAUAUUUUGCAUUCUGCGUAUAAUCGGAAAUGACUUUUAUUAUGUACAGAUAGAAAAACAUUUAUGUAAUACUUGAACGUAAGGUAAGUAAGAUCAUAAUAUCAUGUCACAGUGUUAUCAUAUGAAUAAUAAAAUAUGAACGAUCCAAAGUGCGCGAAGCGACGCAUUUUUGAUGCAAAAUUAGCAAUAAUGUAUUUGCAAUCUUAUUUUGCAAUCUUAUUAAGGGAGGAAUCUCAAUUUCGUCAAAAAAUCGAUUUUUUUAAUGAAAUCUUUUAGUUUAAUAAUAUCUUAAGAAUAUCUCCAUAAAAUUUUGUAUCAAAAUUUGUUUCGUAACUUCAGGAGUUAUAAGCUCUUAAUCGACCGAAUACCUGACCAAGUAUAAGAUUUUUAACAAUCGACAGCUGUUUCGGUUUUGUUCUCAGCACAAGUUAGUCUAGGGACACUUGUAUUAUUUAACAGUGAAAUUUUCAGUAGUCGUUUAACCUCCGAGUGAAACUGAUGCACGCACGAAAAUAAAGAACAAUGAAUUGUAAACAUUCACGAAAUACGUGCUAGCAGACCAAAGAAAAGAAAAUUCACGGGUAAUAUUCACAUUCAAGAAACGGAUACUUCAUUUGCAAGUACAUCAGCAGAAAAAUUAUUCAGUAUUCAAAACGAAAUGCCAAAAUAUUUUGCAACGCGCGAGAUCAUCGCCUUGAAAAAUCAACGCGAUGGAGCCUUCAGGCUAUGAAAGAGGCUCGAAUAAAACGAAGAAACGAAUAGAUGGCUCAAAAUCAAUUUUAUGAAAAUGAGGAAAGAUUGUUAUAUAUCCUUGGAAUAGCAGAGUAACAGAUAUAAGAUAUUAUCUGGAAGAUUAAUAUCGUGCACACCAGUGGACGACGAACUUUGCGUGGCGUGAUAUUCGAUUAUUAAUAAACAUUUAUUAUUAAAAUAAUUAAUAUAAAAAAAACUGUAGUUGUUCAAACGUGAAUAAAAACGUGAUAUAAAUUUUACAUAAAUCAAAUUGCUAGUUUAAAA
Long non-coding RNA from Pogonomyrmex barbatus (red harvester ant), 1198 nucleotides. NCBI's taxonomy places the organism in Eukaryota, Metazoa, Arthropoda, Insecta, Hymenoptera, Formicidae. The record is from RefSeq and is a predicted model, not a curated record.